Long non-coding RNA from Mauremys reevesii (Reeves's turtle), 252 nucleotides. RefSeq lists it as uncharacterized. NCBI's taxonomy places the organism in Eukaryota, Metazoa, Chordata, Testudines, Geoemydidae. The record is from RefSeq and is a predicted model, not a curated record. The transcript has 3 exons.
GGUCAAGCCCCAGGGCCACUCUACCCCAGGAGCUGCUGGUGCUCAGUGCAUCUUCGUAUAUGACGGUGCAGGUCAGAAGGGCAGCCAUGCUCCUCCUCUUCCAGCUGAUCAGCAUGUUCCAGGCCGGGUCGGGCCGAUUCUGGGAUAACUACAUGACGGAAACACUCCUCUAUGUGGAAGAUCACAAGACCUGCUCUUCUCUUCCAGAUCACAAGACCUGCUUCUGCCAGAAGGAGUGGGAGCAGCAGCUGC